UAGGGAAUCUUCCACAAUGGACGAAAGUCUGAUGGAGCAACGCCGCGUGAGUGAAGAAGGGUUUCGGCUCGUAAAACUCUGUUGUUAAAGAAGAACAUAUCUGAGAGUAACUGUUCAGGUAUUGACGGUAUUUAGCCAGAAAGCCACGGCUAACUACGUGCCUG
This 164-nucleotide ribosomal RNA is filed under the name uncultured bacterium. Its description in RNAcentral is "partial 16S ribosomal RNA". It matches the Rfam family "Bacterial small subunit ribosomal RNA", at positions 355 to 511 of the family's 1533-position model. The record is from RNAcentral.